AGCGAACGCUGGCGGCAGGCUUAACACAUGCAAGUCGAACGGGCACUUCGGUAUCGGUUGCUGACGGGUGAGGAACGUGUUGGAAGGGUGCCUUAGGUUUGGGAUACUGCUGGGUAACUAGCGCUAAUAUCGGGUACGUCAUGUUGAGACAGGGUUUACUGCCGAAGGAUCGGCCCGCGUCUGAUUAGCUAGUUGGUAGGGUAAUGGCCUACGAAGGCGACGAUCAGUAGCUGGGCUGAGAGGAUGAUCGGCCACACUGGGACUGAGACACGGCCCAGACUCCUACGGGAGGCAGCAGUGGGGAAUAUUGCACAAUGGGGGCAAGUCUGAUGCAGCCAUGCCGCGUGAGUGAUGAAGUCCUUAGGGUUGUAAAGCUCUUUUAUCCGGGACGAUAAUGACGGUACCGGAAGAAUAAGCCCCGGCUAACUUCGUG
RNAcentral lists this ribosomal RNA (433 nucleotides) under uncultured bacterium. RNAcentral's name for it is "partial 16S ribosomal RNA". It matches the Rfam family "Bacterial small subunit ribosomal RNA", at positions 29 to 507 of the family's 1533-position model. The record is from RNAcentral.